GCCCUGAGCUGCCUGCAGAGCAACUAAUCAUGGGCAGUUACCACAGUGGCACAUCAUAAACAGUCUGUAAAAGACCCGGGGAGCCAGCUCACUCCCUCCCAGAGCCACAGACUCCCCAGCACAUGCGCAUAUGCACAGCUGCCCCCUGCAAGAGACCAGCGUGGCUGCCCAGGGCCCUCUUCUAUUGUGUCUUUAUCUUGGUCACAAACUCCUCCAAGGAAGAAGGGCCAGCAGCAUUUUACCUAUGGGGGAUCACAGGCUCAGACAGAGUGUUCUUCAGCAAGACCACAGAGGGAGCAAGCUGCAGGGGAAAUGGUUGUUGCACAGAACAGGGAUAGAAUAAAGGCUGAACCCACUGCGAGCUACCCAAAGCCCUUCCAAAUCUCUGUCUCUCACUCUCACAGGAGCCAUCUGUAGAUGCAGAAAGGGAGGCUCAGAGGAAGGAAAUCCUGGUCUGCCACAGCCCCUCCCACAAUUGGGAUAACCUUCCCAUAACAGAACUCUGGCCGCGCCGCAUCACUCCAAAGCCCACUGGCUCCUGACUAUUGCAGUGGGAUGUCAUCUUCAUUAGAUUCAUUCUCUCCCACAGCAGCGUUCUGAAAAGUCAGCUUAGUGCACUUGUGUGCCCCUCAGUAUCCCGUCUCUCUCAAAGCUGCACUCUGCUGAAGUUAUGGCUUCUGUCCGGAUGCUUCUCCUGCCACACCUCCACCUGGUUGGCACCUGGGUUGAGCAUCCCGUAUGGGUUUUCAUGGAUCUCUGGGAUUGGAUGUUGGGCCCCACAAGGACAGGAACAUAGGGAUGUUCCUAACUCCCAACAUCCAGACUGUCCAGAAAGACUCUCACUGCAGGGGUCACUGUCUCCACUUGCGAGAAGCAUCCUCCACCCCACUCUCAUGGGCGCAGAGAGGAGAGGGGCGGAAUAUGCUGAGAUCCCCGCAUGUCACACAUCCCCAGCCUGCUGUGUGGACAUGCGCGCCCGUGGCCCAUCCAGGUCCUCCGUGAGAUGGGCUCCCAUUGUCCCUGCACAGUGACAGUAAGCCAAGCGGAGAAAGAGUGUGCCCGGAAUCAGAAGGCACGAGUUCUCGGCCUGUUCCUGCAAUUUCCUGUGUGGUCACUGUUGUCACUCUCCACUGUUGAAAGGGCUCAAAGUCACCCCAACUCUAAAAUGCAAGAAAUAUGGAAGCUGGGUCUCAGGGAUGCUAUGCAUGUGGUCAUUUGGGGGACAAAAGGAAACAUUCCCUGCAGGGGCUUGUUGGAUCCCUUAGAAUAAACACCUGGGGACUCUGGUUUCUUACAGUUGGAACCUUCCCUGUUGAAGCAGUACAUAAGGGCUGACCAUGUAUGUGGGGCUCCAGUGCCCAACCAGAUUGGGAACGAUUCAUAUCUUGUAAGACACUCUGGUUUAACCUAAUGCAGUCCAGGUUAAGUUAAAGUGCAUGCACAAACACACACACUGAAAGGGGUGGGCUGGGUGCCCUGUGACUCUCAGCCUACUAGCUGCCUCCCUGGGCAGUGGUCCUGGGGAGAGAGGCCUGUCCAGAUGAAAGGAGAGAGGAGCAGAUUUAUGGGUGAG
Molecule: long non-coding RNA, 1573 nt
Organism: Chinchilla lanigera (long-tailed chinchilla)
Lineage: Eukaryota; Metazoa; Chordata; Mammalia; Rodentia; Chinchillidae
Source: Ensembl